GUGGCCUUAGCUCAGUUGGUUAGAGCGUCGGAUUGUGGCUCCGAAGGUCGAGGGUUCGACCCCCUUAGGCCACCCCA
RNAcentral lists this transfer RNA (77 nucleotides) under Candidatus Altimarinota bacterium. Its description in RNAcentral is "tRNA-His". It matches the Rfam family "tRNA". Rfam says of the family: Transfer RNA (tRNA) molecules are approximately 80 nucleotides in length. Lineage: Bacteria; Candidatus Altimarinota. The record is from RNAcentral.